This 502-nucleotide ribosomal RNA is filed under the name uncultured bacterium. RNAcentral's name for it is "bacterial SSU rRNA". It matches the Rfam family "Bacterial small subunit ribosomal RNA", at positions 29 to 524 of the family's 1533-position model. The record is from RNAcentral.
AAUGAACGCUGGCGGCGUGCCUAACACAUGCAAGUCGGAUGUGCCGCAAGGUGCAUGGCAGACGGGUGAGUAACGCGUAGGGAAUCUACCUUUUUGUGGGGAAUAACGCUCCGAAAGGAGUGGUAAUACCGCAUGAGACCGUGACCUGGGAUGGUUACGGUGAAACCUGGGGACCGCAAGGCCUGGGGCAAAAAGAGGAUCCUGCGUCUGAUUAGCUAGUUGGCGGGGUAAUGGCCCACCAAGGCGACGAUCAGUAGCCGGCCUGAGAGGGUGAUCGGCCACACUGGAACUGAGACACGGUCCAGACUCCUACGGGAGGCAGCAGUGGGGAAUUUUGCGCAAUGGACGAAAGUCUGACGCAGCAACGCCGCGUGGGUGAUGAAGGUCUUCGGACUGUAAAACCCUGUCGUCAGGGACGAAGGUGGCAGUGUUAAUAGCGCUGUUACUUGACGGUACCUGGAGAGGAAGCCCCGGCUAACUCUGUGCCAGCAGCCGCGGUAAU